Molecule: transfer RNA, 63 nt
Filed under: uncultured Gellertiella sp.
Lineage: Bacteria; Pseudomonadati; Pseudomonadota; Alphaproteobacteria; Hyphomicrobiales; Rhizobiaceae
Rfam family: tRNA
About the family: Transfer RNA (tRNA) molecules are approximately 80 nucleotides in length. Their secondary structure includes four short double-helical elements and three loops (D, anti-codon, and T loops).
Source: RNAcentral
GCGUAGCUCAGUCGGUAGAGCAACUGACUUUUAAUCAGUAGGUCCAGGGUUCGAAUCCCUGCG